UCUCGGCUUACGCCGGCAGUCCCGCCAGAGUCCCCGGCUUCACCCGCUGGCAACUGGCGGUAGGGGUUGCGCUCGUUAUGGGACUUAACCCGACACCUCACGGCACGAGCUGACGACAACCAUGCAGCACCUCGCUCCCGGCCGUUGCCGGCUCACGCCUUUCGGCGUGAUUCCAGAAGCGUUCGAGCCCAGGUAAGGUUCCUCGCGUAUCAUCGAAUUAAACCACAUGUUCCUCCGCUUGUGCGGGCCCCCGUCAAUUCCUUUGAGUUUCAGCCUUGCGGCCGUACUCCCCAGGUGGAUGGCUUAAUGGUUUCCCUCAGGCACGCGCCCUCGCGGGCGCACACCCAGCCAUCAUCGUUUACGGCGUGGACUAC
This 374-nucleotide unclassified non-coding RNA is filed under the name uncultured Rikenellaceae bacterium. RNAcentral's name for it is "contains 16S-23S intergenic spacer region". The record is from RNAcentral. Lineage: Bacteria; Pseudomonadati; Bacteroidota; Bacteroidia; Bacteroidales; Rikenellaceae.